GGUGCGGUAGUACAGCGGUUAGUGCAUUCGACUCCCGGCCCCUCG
Molecule: transfer RNA, 45 nt
Filed under: Podospora comata
Lineage: Eukaryota; Fungi; Ascomycota; Sordariomycetes; Sordariales; Podosporaceae
Source: RNAcentral